Molecule: long non-coding RNA, 2241 nt
Organism: Brassica napus (rape)
Lineage: Eukaryota; Viridiplantae; Streptophyta; Magnoliopsida; Brassicales; Brassicaceae
Exons: 12
Source: RefSeq, a predicted model, not a curated record
UUUAAAAAAACAGUAAAGGAGAGAUAAUUGUUUUGUCCAGACGUUUCUUUUUUGGUAAAAAAAUCAGAUUAGUUCUCCUCUGAAAUGACGAUUGAGAUGGCGAUUCAAAGCUCCAAAAAACACAAAUCCAUGGUGGUAAUGAUGGAAUCAAGGUUGCUUGAAGGGGUGAACACGUUCUGUAGCAAAUCAAACAUCAACCGAUUAUUCUGAUUUGGAUCUAAGUCAAACCGACGAUUCAGCAGGCGGAACACCUCUCAAGAUUUACCGAUCUACAUAUUUAGAUCGAAGAAAUCUUUGACAAGAACCAUGAUUUUGAGAUGAUUGUCGAUAUUUGAAAAACAACAAAACGACAUCGAUUCCGUCAUGACCGAUUUUGACCCCAACAGUGAACACGUUCUGUAGCAAAUCAAAGAUCAACCGAUUAUUCUGAUUUGGAUCUAAGUCAAACUGACGAUUCAGCAGGCGGAACACCUCUCAAGAUUUACCGAUCUACAUAUUUAGAUCGAAGAAAUCUUUGAGAAGAACCAUGAUUUUGAGAUGAUUGUCGAUAUUUGAAAGACAACAAAACGUGAGAUUGGAAUGACUUCGAAGCGUCUGAAGAAUAUCUGAAGCUGUCAAAAUGGAUCGUUUUAAAGUCGAUUCGAAAAAAAAUUGGAAACAAAGCGUCGUGCGUUGGCAUUUUUAGAAACAGAGCUGUAUUGGAUACUUCUGGAUGACAUGGGACAGAUAUAAAACACUCCAUCAAUACGUAACUUAUCCAGGAGACUCUUACUUGAAUGGCAAGAUAUAUGCCGAUGAAAAGGAUAUGGAAACAUGGCUUCUCGAUCAUUCAUAUUCCGCAAAUAUCAAAAUUAACUAAAAUUGGUAAAGUCCUCAAAAGAUGUCGGACCUCUGACAAUGUUUAGCAAGGAACGCAAGUAGAAAGCUUCUUCCACAUUUCGUGGAGCAUAUUUGAGUUUCUGAACGAUAGUCAUUUUGUAGGAAUGGUCGGUUGAUUGAUAGGAUCCAGUUGCAGGACUGAGGCCGAUAUUCUGAAAGUGCCUCCGGACUUCAACAGGAAGAAGGCAUCCUUUAAUCUCCAUGAAUGAUCGGUUGAUCGAUAGCAUCCAUUUGCAGGACUGAGGCUGAAAUUCUGAAUCCACCUCCAUGCUCCAACUGGAAGAAGGCGUCCUUUACUCUCCAUGCCACCCACCUGAAACUAAUCCAUCAUCUAUAACCUGCUCGCUCCUUCCCUACGUCUCGACGGUGUCGUUGUUGCUGUGACGUUUUAUGUUCACCACCCCUCUGGCCAGUCAACGGCGUAACGGUUUGGGGUUGCAUUCAAUCGACAAAAUCACCCUUCUCAUUAACGCCAUUGAUCCAGAGACCACAACCUCCACUACGCCGCAUUCAUGACAACCCCUUCUUCCUCCAUGUUUAGUGAAUCUAGACCUAUAAAUAUGAGAGCAGGCUUUGUUGAUAUGCAUCACUUGCUCCCUCUCAAACAUUAUAAUCCUUAGAGAAUCACUAAUCAGCGAUGGCAACCUCCUUCGUUUUCAUCGUCGAUUGGAAAGCCGGCCGCUGUAACAACGUCGUUGAAGUCCGUUUGUUGAGGUUUUGGGAGGCAUGUAAUGACAAAGUUGAUAAGCCGCCGAAGCAAAGCAUCUAUUGGUAAUCGCUAUAUAGGGUACAACCAUACAAAUGUUGAGAACCGCGGGGAAAGCAAGCUCCCCGUUCAUCUCCGAUGUUUCCGAUGUUGUGGGCAUCACUUAUACGAUUUCAGUUCCGACACAAUUCAUUUAACUUCAAAGCAUCAGACCAUUACCAUUUCCUGAAUCUUCAAUGAACGUCAGCUUCGUCCAAUCCCAGACUUUGGUGAUGAUGGAAGCAACGGACUCGGAGACAAUAUACACAGAGCAACUUCACUUACAUCCACGCUGAGUCUUGGACACGCCCACAAUGCUAAUGAGCCAUAUGUGGACCCGGUGGCUAUACAUCCACUAAGACUGCUCCCACCAAGUAGCAAUGCAUCUAAGAAGGCACACAGAGGUUAGCUUCAAGAGGAUACAAUCUCCUUUUGAAUUUAUUUAGUUUCUCCUAUGUCUCCCAGUCAAUUUACUUUAAAUAUAAGCAUAUUUCCUACUUAAUCAAAUAUGAGGUUGGUUUGACCGCUAAUCAGUCAUAUGUUUAUUGUCAUAAUCAAAUACUAUUUACUUCUAAUAUAUAUUGGAAAUGCCACAAAUGACUAACUUUGGCCUACCA